AGGAGCAGGAGCUCUUAAUUUUUUUUUCUAUUUGGUGGGGUUUUUUUAUUUUUUCCCUCAGUUAUUUGAGAGGUUUUAUUGGGCCUCAUCUUAAUCACCUUAAAGGAGUUACCUAGACUUACCAAAAUCAUUAUAUGCAAAAAGAAUAUGGAGGCAUGCACCUGCAUGUAUGUGUACCUGAGUGUAUGUAGAGUAAAAUCCUUAGCAUCGCAUAAGAUACUGAAAAUAUAAGGAAACUGUUACAAUUGCCUUCAAAAUUUUGGUGUAGUUGAUUGGGGCAGGGCAGAAGUGGGGGGAGGUGAUGGACUGCUUUCUAAGCCAAAUGCAUUGCCUACAUACCUGCUGAUUAAAAAAAAAAAGAUAACUUCUGUAUGUAUUCUUACUUGGGAAGAUAGUUAAAGACUAUACCAUGCACCUGCGUAAACAUGGGCUGCGCUUGGGUAUUCCAGCUCCACCCUCUUCCUUCUCUCCAGCAGGCCAGGACUGAAGUUCCCCUGUGGGGUGUGCACCCCCUUGCAGUAUGGGUCUGGUAGCUGCUGUGAGACAGCCCAGGCAGUGACUGUCAUCCAGCCCCUCUCUCCCAGUUGCUGGCCCUUAGACCCUCAAGUCCUGCAGACAUGUGGUCCUGCUCCAGUGGCUCAUACUUAAUCCUGUUGUCCCACUCAUGGGCUAGUCCCACUUGAAGUUUGCUAGCAUUGGCACGUACGUGCACACAAGUCCAGUUAAAAACACAGUGUCAUAAGAAUAUCGGGUGGACUGCAGUGAUGCGGGGCAAGGCUUGUCCAUCGAAUCGUAAUCGUGCCUUCUGAUCCUGGUUACCAGACCAAGAAUGUGGCAGUUGGAGUAGAAUUCAUCUUGCUUAACCUCGGAUGUCUACGUUCUUUAGCGGCAUGUUUUUUAUCAACGUCUCCAGGAGGCAGAUACCAUCAGCAAUGUCCAGACCUACACGUGCGUGACUUGACCACAGAAUUUCACUGUCUUGAAGAUCUGUUACCUCCAAAAUACAAUAAAUUCAGUAUUAACUCCAAAGUAACUGGUUAGAGAACUUGGCCCACCUGGUGUCUUAACGAAAACUGCAAAUUUUUCAAGGUAUUGUACAGAGUUGCUGAAAAUUUUUCAGAGAUCCUCUUGAAGUCUUUCUGAAAGUCAACACAAUCCAGGUAUGUUUGGUAUGUGCCACGUGUUGCUGGUGUGCAUUGGUUGUUCCGUGACAGUGAAGAGCCUGAAAAUACGGUCAGUGUAAGAUCAGGCUGCCAAAAGUCAUCUGUUGUUCUUAAAGUACCUGAAGAUGCAGCGGUGUUGCAAAUCCAAUUCAGCAGAAGUAUGUAGAAUUUUCUGGAGAGGACUGUGAUGCUGUGUCAGUUUUACAGUUGCUAAAAGUGCCUUUCAGGUUGGUUUUUUGAAGUUUGUUCUUCUACCUUCUUCUACAGUGGACUCAUUCUCAAAAGAGUGCUCAGUUCAAGAUUUAGAGCAUCAUCUUCUGCUCCUUUUUGCUGCCUUCUCUGAGCAGAUCUGAUCUGUUUUACCCUACACUGUGCCUUCCAGUUCUUAAUUUUUAAGCUACUUUCAGCUUAAUGCAAGACGAUUUUCUCACAGUUACUGUCUUAUUUGAAUUCUCCAAAUUGACUUUUUUUUUUUUUCAAAUGACAGGGCAGUUUCAGUAUGCAGUGAAAGUCUCCUGUCCUCUGUAAAUUGGUUUUUUUGAUGGUAAUAAUAUUUCCUCAUUUGUUUUUUAUUAAUUCAUUCUAGCUAUGAUUAAAAUCACCUGCAAGCCUUUCAUGGUUGGAAGACAAUCCUCAGGAGCCCCCUUUUUGCUGUCUGACAAUGUGAUUGUCUCUUCUUCGUAACCAUUGAUUCUCUUUUUCCAUUUUUAAUGGCAUUUUGGCCUCAGCAUUUGGGAGGUUCUGCUUUGCUGGUCCCUCUUUGAUGCUGCUGCUCUGUAGCGUUGCAGUGACCCACCCCUCCUUCUUCUAGGCAUUGAAAAAUACCAGAAAAUUCUUAGUUCUGCUAACAUAUUUUACUACAUAUCCUCAAAAUUUAUGUUUAUGUGAAAGCUGAAAAUUAUGCCUGUCUGUGGAGAACUUGUUUUUUAAGAACUGACAUUUAAAUUCCAUACAUUUGAGUGGUGAUUUUCUUAUUUGCUUCUUCUGGUAGUAUUUGCUUUAAAUUUACUUUCAUGAUGGCAGCACGUAUGUUGUAAUCACUGUCAGCACAUACAACUUACAUGGCCGAACAUUCAGAGGAACAAACAAAAAUUUCUGCAGGUUAAAGCCUGGUAUGUCUGUGGUUCUGUUACAACCAGUCUGAUGUGGUUUUGUGGGCAGAAAAGCAUGUUCUUGCCAUCAACAGAUGAUUUGGUUAACAAAGUUGGCUGAGCUCUUCACUGGUGCUGCUGUGUGAACAAAUUCCAGGUACCCAAGUCCUGUUUAGUCCAUAAUUAGUUGUUCCUACUCUCCCAUUCAUGCUCAGCCAUGUCAAUGAGGGUGUGCUGCUGCUAGUGAGGUUCUCUAAGAUGGUUUAGAAAGUGGUUUUGCAUUGUGGUAGCGCUUGGAGGGUUUUCAUCGUCACCUACUGCCGUGGACUGUGUACCUGCUCCUUUGCCGUUAAUUGUUUCCUCGUCUGUCUCGCAGGGCUCUUUA
Long non-coding RNA from Egretta garzetta (little egret), 2639 nucleotides. RefSeq lists it as uncharacterized. The record is from RefSeq and is a predicted model, not a curated record. The transcript has 3 exons. Lineage: Eukaryota; Metazoa; Chordata; Aves; Pelecaniformes; Ardeidae.